GACGAACGAGGGAGGGGUGAUUAACACAUGCAAGUCGAACGGAAAGGCCCUGCUUUUGUGGGGUGCUCGAGUGGCGAACGGGUGAGUAACACGUGAGUAACCUGCCCUUGACUUUGGGAUAACUUCAGGAAACUGGGGCUAAUACCGGAUAGGAGCUCCUGCUGCAUGGUGGGGGUUGGAAAGUUUCGGCGGUUGGGGAUGGACUCGCGGCUUAUCAGCUUGUUGGUGGGGUAGUGGCUUACCAAGGCUUCGACGGGUAGCCGGCCUGAGAGGGUGACCGGCCACAUUGGGACUGAGAUACGGCCCAGACUCCUACGGGAGGCAGCAGUGGGGAAUAUUGCACAAUGGGCGGAAGCCUGAUGCAGCAACGCCGCGUGCGGGAUGACGGCCUUCGGGUUGUAAACCGCUUUCGCCUGUGACGAAGCGUGAGUGACGGUAAUGGGUAAAGAAGCACCGGCUAACUACGUG
RNAcentral lists this ribosomal RNA (468 nucleotides) under uncultured bacterium. RNAcentral describes it as "partial 16S ribosomal RNA". It matches the Rfam family "Bacterial small subunit ribosomal RNA", at positions 28 to 507 of the family's 1533-position model. The record is from RNAcentral.